CCUACGGGAGGCAGCAGUGGGGAAUUUUGGACAAUGGGCGCAAGCCUGAUCCAGCCAUGCCGCGUGUGGGAAGAAGGCCUUCGGGUUGUAAACCACUUUUGUCAGGGAAGAAACGGCUCUUACUAAUAUUAGGGGCUAAUGACGGUACCUGAAGAAUAAGCACCGGCUAACUACGUGCCAGCAGCCGCGGUAAUACGUAGGGUGCAAGCGUUAAUCGGAAUUACUGGGCGUAAAGCGUGCGCAGGCGGCUUUGCAAGACAGAUGUGAAAUCCCCGGGCUCAACCUGGGAACUGCAUUUGUGACUGCAUGGCUAGAGUACGGUAGAGGGGGAUGGAAUUCCGCGUGUAGCAGUGAAAUGCGUAGAUAUGCGGAGGAACACCGAUGGCGAAGGCAAUCCCCUGGACCUGUACUGACGCUCAUGCACGAAAGCGUGGGGAGCAAACAGGAUUAGAUACCCUGGUAGUCCACGCCCUAAACGAUGUCAACUGGUUGUUGGACGGCUUGCUGUUCAGUAACGAAGCUAACGCGUGAAGUUGACCGCCUGGGGNGGACGGCGCGAGUAGUAACGUAAGUAGAGUUAGACGGCGUGAGACGUGCCGACGGACGACGACGAGGGAGGAGG
Molecule: ribosomal RNA, 622 nt
Filed under: uncultured bacterium
Lineage: Bacteria
Description: bacterial SSU rRNA
Rfam family: Bacterial small subunit ribosomal RNA (bases 1-542)
Source: RNAcentral